RNAcentral lists this non-coding RNA (31 nucleotides) under Homo sapiens (human). Lineage: Eukaryota; Metazoa; Chordata; Mammalia; Primates; Hominidae. The record is from RNAcentral.
UGGCAGAAACAUCUCUGUUCCUCUGGUAGGC